RNAcentral lists this transfer RNA (81 nucleotides) under Chitinophaga dinghuensis. Its description in RNAcentral is "tRNA-Leu". It matches the Rfam family "tRNA". Rfam says of the family: Transfer RNA (tRNA) molecules are approximately 80 nucleotides in length. Lineage: Bacteria; Pseudomonadati; Bacteroidota; Chitinophagia; Chitinophagales; Chitinophagaceae. The record is from RNAcentral.
AGCGUUGUAGCUCUAUGGAAGAGCAGUUGCAGUGAAUAAUAUUACUGUAAAAGGAAAUGAGUUCAAUUCUCAUCAGCGGUA